Molecule: long non-coding RNA, 1853 nt
Organism: Lycium barbarum (goji berry)
Lineage: Eukaryota; Viridiplantae; Streptophyta; Magnoliopsida; Solanales; Solanaceae
Exons: 3
Source: RefSeq, a predicted model, not a curated record
UCUCAACAAUUCUUUCUCACUUUCUCUCUCUAGCUAUAUACAUAGGUCUUUUCUCUCUCUCUCUCUCUCACUCUAAAAAAAAUCUCAGAUCUAUAUAUAUACGCACGUAAAAAAAAUUGUAUUUGUAUUGCGGCAGUCUCUCAUUCGCUUGGUGCAGGUCGGGACCUUCCUCGCCGGAGACAAUGACGUCAGCUAACGGCGACGGUGACGUAGGCAUACCGGUAAAUACUUUUUUUUGGUGUUGUCUAUGACGAAGUUUCGGUCCCGCCUUGCAUCAACUGAAUAAGAGACUGCGGUGAAUUUUUUUUUAUUUUUUUUUACUGCGGUGAAUUUUGUUUUCGAUUAAAUCAGCUUUGUUGUGGAUCGAUCUAAUGAGGUGGAACAAGGUUAUGUUGCUUUAAAGCUGGAAAAGAAAUUGUGAGAGAGAAGGUAGCUAGCUGUAUAUAAUCUGUGACGUCUAUGGAAUACUGCUGGGCUUCAUUUUAAGUUCACUCUAAACAAAGGAAACGAAACAGUAUAACUGCUGCAUGUUUUCUUUUUACAUUGUUUCGAUUCCAUCAGCUUAGCACAUUUUGCCCUCUGACCCAGAAAGAUAAUUCUGCCAGAGUAUCUAUAUUUAAGUUUUAAGUUGCCUUGGAAGCUAAUUGUGCGUAUUUCAGUUUGAUCUCUAUAAAAAAAAUUGUAUGCGGUAUACGUAUUAAUGGCUAUACUCUUCCUUCUGUAUCUUGUAGCCACUAGCUUUGGCUAUAUGGGAAAAAGAAAUUGACAAUUCACUUCCUGAAACUGUGUUAGUAUGUAACAUUGUCAUUCUUUGGAUAGAAUCCGUGCAAUUUUCAUCAAACUAAAUAGUUCAGUCUGGGCUUUUACGUCGUAGGUUUUUGAAUUACAGUACAGUUUUUGUCCAAAGAGCAUUUACCAGCUGCAUAUCUGUCUUUUUUAUGAUAUUGACAUUUACUAUCUCUAUUCUUCAUCUGUAACGCCUUUCCUUGUCCCAACUCUAUGCCUAUUGAUCUUUGCAGUAGUUAUUUAAAAGUAUGAAAAUGGUUUGUGGCUGGACAUAUUGUGCAAAUUGCAAUUGGUUUCAAUCAACUGAAAUUGACCAUAGGAGAGACUUAAAUAUCAAUUUGUAAGGCUAGGUGUUCUAAUAUGAAUAAUGGGUUGAUUAAAAUUCAUGUCAAUCUUCACGUCUCACAACACAAAUGUUAAUGGGGUUACUGUUCCAGAAACAUACACAUUUGUUCUAACUUGUAACAACUUUAUUUGAUUUUUGUCCAGUUUAAUCAGUAUAACUUUUCAGCUGGAUGAAGUGGUAACCAAUAUUGUUAUUCUCAUGCACAAGCGCAGGAGCAAUAUAUUUUUGUGACCCCUCCCUUAUAACUUGGUUCCAUUUUGUUCACAUUUGUUAAGUAUGUAGCCUUGUUUUAUCACUUAUCGCAAAGGGUACAAUUGUUUUAUCCAAAAAUGAAAAUAUGGGUUGCUGAACUUACCGAAUAAUGAAGUCAUUUUUCUAGGUCUAGCACAUCUGAUGCUGCUGGGAAAAAUGGAAGAUGGGAAGUAUUUGCAUUUUUAUGGUCCAAAUGCCAGAGCACAUAAGGUUUAACCUGGCCGUGCUGCUUCUUAUUCAUAAACUACUCAUCCAGUGUAGCUAUGUUAUCUAUUUUUUUUGGGAUUUAGGGUGCUUUACAUAUAUCAUUAUUUGCUUUCUUCUAUUGUUUGUGAAGUUUCCUACUUGUCUUAGAAGGAAAGCAAAAUGUAAUAUUUUUAUUGUCUAGUGGAAAGAAUAUCAGCAGUUUGUAAUAUUUUUUUAUUCCUCCUAUUUGCUUUGAAUAACUUAUGAGUUGAUCUCUUGAGUA